Molecule: ribosomal RNA, 750 nt
Filed under: Salmonella enterica
Lineage: Bacteria; Pseudomonadati; Pseudomonadota; Gammaproteobacteria; Enterobacterales; Enterobacteriaceae
Also listed under: 10 other names
Description: partial 23S ribosomal RNA
Rfam family: Bacterial large subunit ribosomal RNA
Source: RNAcentral
UGGAGCCGACCUUGAAAUACCACCCUUUAAUGUUUGAUGUUCUAACGUGGACCCGUGAUCCGGGUUGCGGACAGUGUCUGGUGGGUAGUUUGACUGGGGCGGUCUCCUCCUAAAGAGUAACGGAGGAGCACGAAGGUUGGCUAAUCCUGGUCGGACAUCAGGAGGUUAGUGCAAUGGCAUAAGCCAGCUUGACUGCGAGCGUGACGGCGCGAGCAGGUGCGAAAGCAGGUCAUAGUGAUCCGGUGGUUCUGAAUGGAAGGGCCAUCGCUCAACGGAUAAAAGGUACUCCGGGGAUAACAGGCUGAUACCGCCCAAGAGUUCAUAUCGACGGCGGUGUUUGGCACCUCGAUGUCGGCUCAUCACAUCCUGGGGCUGAAGUAGGUCCCAAGGGUAUGGCUGUUCGCCAUUUAAAGUGGUACGCGAGCUGGGUUUAGAACGUCGUGAGACAGUUCGGUCCCUAUCUGCCGUGGGCGCUGGAGAACUGAGGGGGGCUGCUCCUAGUACGAGAGGACCGGAGUGGACGCAUCACUGGUGUUCGGGUUGUCAUGCCAAUGGCACUGCCCGGUAGCUAAAUGCGGAAGAGAUAAGUGCUGAAAGCAUCUAAGCACGAAACUUGCCCCGAGAUGAGUUCUCCCUGAGACUUAGAGUCUCCUGAAGGAACGUUGAAGACGACGACGUUGAUAGGCCGGGUGUGUAAGCGCAGCGAUGCGUUGAGCUAACCGGUACUAAUGAACCGUGAGGCUUAACCUU